GAGGGUAUAGCUCAGUGAUAGAAUGUGUGCUUAGCAUGCACAGGGUCCUGGGUUCAAUCCCCAGUACCUCCA
Molecule: transfer RNA, 72 nt
Organism: Camelus ferus (Wild Bactrian camel)
Lineage: Eukaryota; Metazoa; Chordata; Mammalia; Artiodactyla; Camelidae
Rfam family: tRNA
About the family: Transfer RNA (tRNA) molecules are approximately 80 nucleotides in length. Their secondary structure includes four short double-helical elements and three loops (D, anti-codon, and T loops).
Source: Rfam